GCGCUUAUACCUCAGCUGGAUAGAGGGUCCGCCUCCUAAGCGGAACGCCGCGCGUUCGAAUCGCGCUAAGCGCGCCA
This 77-nucleotide transfer RNA is filed under the name Clostridia bacterium. RNAcentral describes it as "tRNA-Arg". It matches the Rfam family "tRNA". Rfam says of the family: Transfer RNA (tRNA) molecules are approximately 80 nucleotides in length. Their secondary structure includes four short double-helical elements and three loops (D, anti-codon, and T loops). Further hydrogen bonds mediate the characteristic L-shaped molecular structure. tRNAs have two regions of fundamental functional importance: the anti-codon, which is responsible for specific mRNA codon recognition, and the 3' end, to which the tRNAs corresponding amino acid is attached (by aminoacyl-tRNA synthetases). tRNAs cope with the degeneracy of the genetic code in two manners: having more than one tRNA (with a specific anti-codon) for a particular amino acid; and 'wobble' base-pairing, i.e. permitting non-standard base-pairing at the 3rd anti-codon position. The record is from RNAcentral. Lineage: Bacteria; Bacillati; Bacillota; Clostridia.